Molecule: ribosomal RNA, 492 nt
Filed under: uncultured bacterium
Lineage: Bacteria
Description: partial 16S ribosomal RNA
Rfam family: Bacterial small subunit ribosomal RNA
Source: RNAcentral
AGUGAACGCUGGCGGUAGGCCUAACACAUGCAAGUCGAACGGCAGCACAGUAAGAGCUUGCUCUUACGGGUGGCGAGUGGCGGACGGGUGAGGAAUACAUCGGAAUCUACUUUUUCGUGGGGGAUAACGUAGGGAAACUUACGCUAAUACCGCAUACGACCUACGGGUGAAAGCAGGGGAUCUUCGGACCUUGCGCGAUUGAAUGAGCCGAUGUCGGAUUAGCUAGUUGGCGGGGUAAAGGCCCACCAAGGCGACGAUCCGUAGCUGGUCUGAGAGGAUGAUCAGCCACACUGGAACUGAGACACGGUCCAGACUCCUACGGGAGGCGGCAGUGGGGAAUAUUGGACAAUGGGCGCAGGCCUGAUCCAGCCAUACCGCGUGGGUGAAGAAGGCCUUCGGGUUGUAAAGCCCUUUUGUUGGGAAAGAAAAGCAGCAGGUUAAUACCCCGCUGUUCUGACGGUACCCAAAGAAUAAGCACCGGCUAACUUCGUG